GACGAACGCUGGCGGCGUGCUUAACACAUGCAAGUCGAACGGAAAGGCCCUGCUUUUGUGGGGUGCUCGAGUGGCGAACGGGUGAGUAACACGUGAGUAACCUGCCCUUGACUUUGGGAUAACUUCAGGAAACUGGGGCUAAUACCGGAUAGGAGCUCCUGCUGCAUGGUGGGGGUUGGAAAGUUUCGGCGGUUGGGGAUGGACUCGCGGCUUAUCAGCUUGUUGGUGGGGUAGUGGCUUACCAAGGCUUUGACGGGUAGCCGGCAUGAGAGGGUGACCGGCCACGAUGGGACUAACGUACGGCACAGACUCCUACAGGAGGCAGCAGUGGAGAAUAUUGCGCAAUGGGCGGAAGCCUGAUGCAGCAACGCCGCGUGCGGGAUGACGGCCUUCGGGUUGUAAACCGCUUUCGCCUGUGACGAAGCGUGAUUGACGGUAAUGGGUAAAGAAGCACCGGCUAACUACGUG
RNAcentral lists this ribosomal RNA (468 nucleotides) under uncultured bacterium. RNAcentral's name for it is "partial 16S ribosomal RNA". It matches the Rfam family "Bacterial small subunit ribosomal RNA", at positions 28 to 507 of the family's 1533-position model. The record is from RNAcentral.